ACUAACCUACCUUGCGCGUGAGUUUUCUAAAGUUUUGAUCCUAUUAUAAUUUAGGGAACCGAAGUAAUUGUUUUGAGUACGCCAAGCCUUGAUCUGGCUUCACAAGCAAAGAAGGAAGGCGGAAAAAACAUUCAGGUUCCCACCUUGCGAGAGCAGGGUCAUGAAACUUGGAACCUUACGGCUAGGCGGGAGCUCU
This 196-nucleotide non-coding RNA is filed under the name Peptococcaceae bacterium. RNAcentral's name for it is "6S RNA". It matches the Rfam family "6S / SsrS RNA". From Rfam's summary of the family: E. coli 6S RNA was the first non coding RNA to be sequenced, but its function was unknown until recently. The record is from RNAcentral. Lineage: Bacteria; Bacillati; Bacillota; Clostridia; Eubacteriales; Peptococcaceae.